Molecule: long non-coding RNA, 1248 nt
Filed under: Canis lupus familiaris (dog)
Lineage: Eukaryota; Metazoa; Chordata; Mammalia; Carnivora; Canidae
Description: lncRNA (ENSCAFG00040019467.1)
Source: RNAcentral
UGGAAGAAAGCCCAGCACUGUUGUUGGACUUAUUUUAAAAAGUUCCUCUGACUUCAACAGAAAUCCCAACAAGUCAUUCUGGACCCUGACUACUGGACUACUGGAGGUGUCUGCUAUUUUGUCUCUCCUUUGCUCCCUUCUACCCAGAGACAUAAUGUUUGUUUAUUUAUUUAUUUAAAGAUUUUAUUUAUUUAUUCAUGAGAGACACACCACACAGAGAGAGAGAGAGAGAGAGAGAGAGGCAGUCAUAGGCAGAGGGAAAAGCAGGCUCCAUGCAGAAGCCCGACGUGGGACUCGAUCCCGGGACCACAGGAUCAUGACCUGGGCCAAAGGCAGACGCUCAACCGCUGAGCCAGCCGGGUGCCCUGAGACGGGGUGUUUAAAGGAUCACCACCAUCUCUCCCGGCUCCAUUUGUACCACGAUCUUGAUUAAGAAUAAGAAGCAUCCAAAAGCAGCAAGCAUGUGUCAGCCCCUGGAGGCCAUGAAGAAGACCACUCUAUGAGUUUCAAGACCCUCAGAACUACUACUCUUUUCUGAAAACCCUGUACCCACCUGAAACUGUUACGACAUGUGUGAUUGCAUCACAUUAUUUCUGUGAGUAUAUUUUGUGAAGUAUGAACCAAAUCUUCCCUACUGUCUUCCCUACUUUCUUUUAACCUAUUACACUUCCUCAUUUUGGCUAUUAGAUAAUAAGGUUUCUGAUAGUCAAAGAAGGAUUAGAAUGAGUGUAAGACUAAAAGAUUUGAAAGAAUGCAUGUAAAUCCAGUUUUGUUCACCUUCAUCCAGAGGAAAAAGAGGGGAAAAAUAAAUAAAUAAACCUUCUGGAUUGAGGAAAACCAAAGGAAUUUGAAGAGAAGCAUAAGCAAUGCUGGUAAAUGUUUGAUAACUUGCUUUUGAGGGGGUAAAGACUGUGAAUUGUAAUGUUUUCCAACUUCUAUGCUAUAAAUACUCUUGGUGUGGCUAUUUUCAAGCUACUGAAGUGCCAUCACUCAAUGCAGAAUUGAGAGGAGAUGCUGGCAAUUGACCCUCACAAGGUGGUGUGUGCCAACUCCUUACAGACCAUCAUAAGUGAUAGUGACUGUUGAAGAUCUUUGAGAAGAGACCUCACUGACCACCUCUACUAUUUAGCUUCAAUAGGGACUUUUGGGGACUCUAUUCUACAACCAUAACAACAUGUAAGAGUUAAAAAUGGGUGUGUGGGUCAGUAUCAGACAUAAUUGAGGAACUUACACUGAGUCACUUCAGAG